Molecule: ribosomal RNA, 544 nt
Filed under: uncultured Glomeromycotina
Lineage: Eukaryota; Fungi; Glomeromycota
Description: SSU rRNA
Rfam family: Eukaryotic small subunit ribosomal RNA
Source: RNAcentral
UUGGAGGGCAAGUCUGGUGCCAGCAGCCGCGGUAAUUCCAGCUCCAAUAGCGUAUAUUAAAGUUGUUGCAGUUAAAAAGCUCGUAGUUGAAUUUCGGGGUUCUACCGUUGGUCGGGCUUUGUCUGUACUGGUGUGUAGAAUUUCUACCUUCUGGGGAACCAUCAUGCUAUUAAUUUAGCGUGGUGGGAAACCAGGACCUUUACCUUGAAAAAAUUAGCGUGUUCAAAGCAGGCUUAUGUCUGAAUACAUUAGCGUGGAAUAAUAGAAUAGGACGGUGGUCCUGUUUUGUUGGUUUCUGAAUCACCGUAAUGAUUAAUAGGGAUAGUUGGGGGCAUUAGUAUUCAAUUGUCAGAGGUGAAAUUCUUGGAUUUAUUGAAGACUAACUUCUGCGAAAGCAUUUGCCAAGGAUGUUUUCAUUAAUCAAGAACGAAAGUUAGGGGAUCGAAGACGAUCAGAUACUGUCGUAGUCUUAACCAUAAACUAUGCCGACUAGGGAUCGGACGAUGUUAAUUUUUCUUGACUCGUUCGGCGCCUUACGGGAAAC